This 506-nucleotide ribosomal RNA is filed under the name uncultured bacterium. RNAcentral describes it as "partial 16S ribosomal RNA". It matches the Rfam family "Bacterial small subunit ribosomal RNA", at positions 29 to 523 of the family's 1533-position model. The record is from RNAcentral.
AGUGAACGCUGGCGGUAGGCCUAACACAUGCAAGUCGAGCGGCAGCACAGGAGAGCUUGCUCUCUGGGUGGCGAGUGGCGGACGGGUGAGGAAUACAUCGGAAUCUACUCUGUCGUGGGGGAUAACGUAGGGAAACUUACGCUAAUACCGCAUACGACCUACGGGUGAAAGCAGGGGACCCUCGGGCCUUGCGCGAGUGACUGAGCCGAUGUCGGAUUAGCUAGUUGGCGGGGUAAAGGCCCACCAAGGCGACGAUCCGUAGCUGGUCUGAGAGGAUGAUCAGCCACACUGGAACUGAGACACGGUCCAGACUCCUACGGGAGGCAGCAGUGGGGAAUAUUGGACAGUGGGCGCAAGCCUGAUCCAGCCAUACCGCGUGGGUGAAGAAGGCCUUCGGGUUGUAAAGCCCUUUUGUUGGGAAAGAAAUCCAGCUGGCUAAUACCCGGUUGGGAUGACGGUACCCAAAGAAUAAGCACCGGCUAGCUUCGUGCCAGCAGCCGCGGUAA